Molecule: unclassified non-coding RNA, 218 nt
Filed under: uncultured Gammaproteobacteria bacterium
Lineage: Bacteria; Pseudomonadati; Pseudomonadota; Gammaproteobacteria
Description: contains 16S-23S intergenic spacer region
Source: RNAcentral
UCCGGUUUGUCACCGGCAGUCUCCCUAGAGUGCCCUUGCGUAGCAACUAGGGACAAGGGUUGCGCUCGUUGCGGGACUUAACCCAACAUCUCACGACACGAGCUGACGACAGCCAUGCAGCACCUGUGUUACGGCUCCCUUUCGGGCACACCCAGCUCUCGCUGGGCUUCCGUACAUGUCAAGGGUAGGUAAGGUGGGGAUGACGUGUCCUUGAUAGG